This 772-nucleotide long non-coding RNA is filed under the name Homo sapiens (human). RNAcentral describes it as "T cell receptor gamma locus antisense RNA 1". Lineage: Eukaryota; Metazoa; Chordata; Mammalia; Primates; Hominidae. The record is from RNAcentral.
AGAAGAGAGCCAGGGGCAUGGAGAGUUCAGGCCUCCAGCAGAGGGAGUGCAGAUAUGGGGAAAGCUGACCCCUGGAGUCAGCAGGCCCAGCCCUAGGAGGGGGCAGUCCCACAGCAGGCUCACACCCUGCCCUUCAGAGUUGCAGCAGCUAAUGCUGAUGCCAGGACCUUGUCCUGCCAGGAAGCCUCUGAUUAGGGCUGUGAACCAACUUCCUUUUCACAUCUGCAAGGACACUUGGAGGCAACUGCCCAAGGCCACUCUGAGGAGGGUUGAAUGUUCUUUAUUAAAAGGACUGAGGAUCAUGUGUGUUGGUGGGCCUUGGACUCUGCUCUAAGACACAUGGAGGCAACCACUCAAGGCCACUCUGAGAAGGGUUGAACGUGCUUUAAAUUAAAAGGACUGAGGAUCAUGUGUGUUGGUGUGUCUUGGACUCUGCUCUAAGACUCAUGGAGGCAACCACUCAAGGUCACUCUGAGAAGGGUUGAACGUGCUUUAUUAAAAGGACUGAGGAUCAUGUGUGUUGGUGUGUCCCGGAGUCUGCUCUAAGGCCCUGUGGCUGCCUGGUGCCCUGGGAAUGGUCCGGUCAUGGGCCUCAGCCCAGGAUGAGCAGCCAACAAUGCAAUCCCACGAAGAGUGUGCGGAAGGGAGAGGUUACUUCUCAAGAUGGAGCUGCCAAAUAGGGACACUUUGGAGAGUCUGGCCUGAGAACUUUUAGUUUCAAGAAUGUAUUGCUUUGGAAAAGACAGAAUAAAAGUCCAAGCACUGCCACUUA